UAUCUUUUAAAAUACGACUACAGACUAAAAUGCAGAGUUCAUUAAAAUACAGAUGAUGACUGUGGUUCUCUGGUCUUCUCUUGACUCCUGUUGUCUACUAAGAUAAGAAGUCUGGGCUAGGCUGAAGAACUCAGAAUCCAGGUAUGGGGUUUCCCAGUACUGUACUCCCAUUUCUCAGUACUGUGCUCCAUCUCUCAGUACUGUGUGCUCCUGUUUCCCAGUACUGUGCUCCCAUUUCCCAGUACUGUGCUCCCAUUGCCCAACACUGUGCUCCCAUUUCCCAAUACUAUACUCCCAUUCCCUGGUACUGUGUGCUCCCAUUUCCCAGUACUGUGCUCCCAUUGCCCAACACUGUGCUCCCAUUUCCCAGUACUGUGUGCUCCAUUUCCCAGUACUAUGCUCCCAUUUCCCAGUACUAUGCUCCCAUUUCCCAGUACUGUGUGCUCCAUUUCCCAGUACUAUGCUCCCAUUGCCCAGUACUGUGCACCCAUUGCCCAAUACUGUGUGCUCCCAUUUCCCAGUACUGUGUGCUCCCAUUUCCCAGUAGUCUGCACUCCCAUUUCCCAGUACUGUGUGCUCUCAUUUCCCAGCACCGUGCUCCCAUUUCCCAGUACUAUGCUCCCAUUUCCCAAUACUGUGUGGUCCAAUUUCCCAGUACUGUGUGCUACCAUUUCCCAAUACUGUGUGCUCCCAUUUCGCAGCACUGUGCUCCCAUUUCCCUGUACUGUGUGCUCCCAUUUCCUAGGACUAUGCUCCCAUUUCUCACUACUGUGCUCCCAUUUCUCAGCACUGAGCUCCCAUUUCGCAGUACUGUGUGCUCUCAUUUCCUAGGACUGUGCUCCCAUUUCUCAGCACUGUGGUCCCAUUUCUCAGUACUGUGCCCACAGGUGUGAUCCAACGUCCCUGGCCCAUCAGCUCUUCUUGAGCAGCAAGAGGCCCUGCAGCUGGCUGGCUGGCUGGACAGCACAGUUAAGCAGGUGGCCGCAUCCUCUGCAGUUGCUGGCAGCCCACCAUCCUGGAGAUGUAACCCCUCCUGCCAGGCUUGUUCUUCUUUGGUUGUGAUGAAGAUGAUGACAGUGAUGG
Molecule: long non-coding RNA, 1083 nt
Filed under: Piliocolobus tephrosceles (Ugandan red Colobus)
Lineage: Eukaryota; Metazoa; Chordata; Mammalia; Primates; Cercopithecidae
Description: lncRNA (ENSPTEG00000011492.1)
Source: RNAcentral